RNAcentral lists this ribosomal RNA (404 nucleotides) under uncultured bacterium. RNAcentral describes it as "partial 16S ribosomal RNA". It matches the Rfam family "Bacterial small subunit ribosomal RNA", at positions 28 to 526 of the family's 1533-position model. The record is from RNAcentral.
GACGAACGCUGGCGGCGUGCUUAACACAUGCAAGUCGAGCGGAGCGGCGGACGGGUGAGUAACGCGUGAGUAACUGGCCCCCUCUCUGGGAUGACAGUUGGAAACGGGUGCUAAUACCGGAUAGUGGGGGAUGACUGGGGUCCUAUCCGCUUGUUGGGGGGGUAGUGGCCUACCAAGGCGAGGACGGGACGCCGGCCUGAGAGGGCGACCGGCCACAUUGGGCUGCGGUACGGCCCAGUCUCCUACGGGCGGCAAGAGAGGGGAGUAUUGCACAGUGGGGGCAACCCUGAUGCAGCAAUCCGCGUGCGGAAUGCCGGGCUUCGGGUUGUAAACCGCUUUCAGCCAUGCCGCGGUAGUGGCACAAGAAGCAACGGCUAACUACGUGCCAGCAGCCGCGGUAAUUC